This 229-nucleotide ribosomal RNA is filed under the name Alexandrium margalefii. RNAcentral's name for it is "partial Bacterial small subunit ribosomal RNA". It matches the Rfam family "Bacterial small subunit ribosomal RNA", at positions 1211 to 1438 of the family's 1533-position model. Lineage: Eukaryota; Dinophyceae; Gonyaulacales; Pyrocystaceae. The record is from RNAcentral.
GGGCUACACACGUGCUACAAUGGCUAGUACAAAGGGUUGCCAACUCGCGAGAGUGCGCUAAUCCCAUAAAGCUAGUCGUAGUCCGGAUCGGAGUCUGCAACUCGACUCCGUGAAGUCGGAAUCGCUAGUAAUCGCGUAUCAGCAAUGACGCGGUGAAUACGUUCCCGGACCUUGUACACACCGCCCGUCAAGCCAUGGGAGUUGGGUAUGCCUGAAGAUGGUUGUUGAA